UACGUAGGGUGCGAGCGUUGUCCGGAAUUAUUGGGCGUAAAGAGCUCGUAGGCGGCUUGUCGCGUCGGGUGUGAAAGCCCGGGGCUUAACCCCGGGUGUGCAGUGGGUACGGGCAGGCUGGAGUGCAGUAGGGGAGACUGGAAUUCCUGGUGUAGCGGUGAAAUGCGCAGAUAUCAGGAAGAACACCGAUGGCGAAGGCAGGUCUCUGGGCCAUUACUGACACUGAGAAGCGAAAGCAUGGGGAGCGAACAGG
This 253-nucleotide ribosomal RNA is filed under the name uncultured bacterium. RNAcentral describes it as "partial 16S ribosomal RNA". It matches the Rfam family "Bacterial small subunit ribosomal RNA", at positions 524 to 776 of the family's 1533-position model. The record is from RNAcentral.